CACGAUCAGCGCGAAGAGAAGAGCAUUUUGUCUCUCGGGGCCUCGCCGGAGUGUCGCCGGCCGGUCACCGGACUGCUGCCGCCGACCGCCGUGCACGGUGGCCGAAAAAUCAUCCUUUCCCAGAAAUUUGCAACGAUCACAUCAUUCAACUCAAAAUUCACCCAGGCGUCCAUUUUUGGCGUUAAUUUAGUGAGAUCGGUCCUUGAUUGGCCGGAUCGGGCUCGACAGCCGCUACAUCUCCUCCGCGCAAGGUUGCUCUCCAACACGUCGAUAAAUCCACAAAUUGUUAGAGGGAAUUUACUCACAGCGUGGUAGAGAGUCGAUUAACACCCAUUUCCUCCGCUGGGGUCGCCGGAAAUGGUGGGAUCGCCAAAGAUGGAAGAGGAGACAGUCGCGUGGGAGAAAUCUCCAUCCGCGCCGCUGCAGGUCCGUUCAACGUGAAGGGAGGCUGGAAUUGAGACCACUGGCGCCGGACGAACCGAUCGCCACUCCGUUCUGGUCGAGUGGUGGUCGGAGAUUGAAAGGAGAGGGAGGAGGGUGCUGUCGCGCGAGGAAGAAGAAGGAGAGAAAGGAAAGGAAAGAAAAGAAAGAAAAAGAAAAGAAGGGAAGGAAAGUGGG
RNAcentral lists this long non-coding RNA (618 nucleotides) under Jatropha curcas. RNAcentral describes it as "long non-coding RNA (JCUR_LNC001630)". Lineage: Eukaryota; Viridiplantae; Streptophyta; Magnoliopsida; Malpighiales; Euphorbiaceae. The record is from RNAcentral.